AACGAACGCUGGCGGCAUGCCUAACACAUGCAAGUCGAACGAAGCCUUCGGGCUUAGUGGCGCAUGGGUGCGUAACGCGUGGGAAUCUGCCCCUUGCUUCGGUAUCACAGCAAGAACUGCCUGCUAAUACAGGAUGAAGUCUUCGGACAAAAGAUUUAUCGGCACGGGAUGAGCCCGCGUAGGAUUAGGUAGUUGGUGGGGUAAAGGCCUACCAAGCCGACGAUCCUUAGCUGGUCUGAGAGGAUGAUCAGCCACACUGGGACUGAGACACGGCCCAGACUCCUACGGGAGGCAGCAGUGGGGACUAUUGGACAAUGGACGCAAGUCUGAUCCAGCAAUGCCGCGUGAGUGAUGAAGGCCUUAGGGUUGUAAAGCUCUUUUACCAGGGAUGAUAAUGACAGUACCUGGAGAAUAAGCUCCGGCUAACUCCGUG
Molecule: ribosomal RNA, 433 nt
Filed under: uncultured bacterium
Lineage: Bacteria
Description: partial 16S ribosomal RNA
Rfam family: Bacterial small subunit ribosomal RNA
Source: RNAcentral